Molecule: ribosomal RNA, 433 nt
Filed under: uncultured bacterium
Lineage: Bacteria
Description: partial 16S ribosomal RNA
Rfam family: Bacterial small subunit ribosomal RNA
Source: RNAcentral
AACGAACGCUGGCGGCAUGCCUAACACAUGCAAGUCGAACGAGACCUUCGGGUCUAGUGGCGCACGGGUGCGUAACGCGUGGGAACCUGCCCUUAGGUUCGGAAUAACUCCCCGAAAGGGGUGCUAAUACCGGAUAAUGUCUUCGGACCAAAGAUUUAUCGCCUUUGGAUGGGCCCGCGUUGGAUUAGCUAGUUGGUAGGGUAAAAGUCUACCAAGGCGACGAUCCAUAGCUGGUCUGAGAGGAUGAUCAGCCACACUGGGACUGAGACACGGCCCAGACUCCUACGGGAGGCAGCAGUGGGGAAUAUUGGACAAUGGGCGAGAGCCUGAUCCAGCAAUGCCGCGUGAGUGAUGAAGGCCUUAGGGUUGUAAAGCUCUUUUACCCGGGAUGAUAAUGACAGUACCGGGAGAAUAAGCUCCGGCUAACUCCGUG